AGAUGAGCAAAGGCUCACAUGCUCAUAACCUGCCUUGGAUAUUAUUGUUCAUCUAAAAAAAAGUUUGUGGUCUUCUGCAAAAGCACACAUCCUGUCAAAGUCCUUUGAAAAACUAGAGUGUGUUGAGUAACAUCAUACUGUGCAAUGAACAAACGUACAUCUGACUUAACGCCUCACCAUGGCGAAUUGUAACAAUCAGACACAACAGUGUGAUUUUUUAAAUCUGCAACAACAUUUAUAUGUUCUGUUUGGAUUGUCCAACAUAUUACUGGUUAUCUCAGUAUCUUGCAAUAUUUUCUUCUUUGUGUCAAAAUGUUGCUCAGGUGAAGGGAAAUGCCGAAACAAACGUCAGAGCCCAAGACACAUGGAAGACAAUCCCAUUUAUGGAAACAUAAGCUUCACACAAACAAAUGUCACAGAGGUUGACCGUCCACACUCAUCACUCAGCUCUUCAUCUUUGAGGGACCAACAUAGAGUGAAUCCUAAAUCACAGUCAAACAAUCAGGACUGCUACGCCAAUCUGACCCUGAAACCUCCCAGGCCGCAGUCCGGCCGUAGCUCUCCACAGAUACAAUACUCAGAUGUUGUCCUUGUGGAGGUGCCGUUAGAGCCAGAGAAAGAAGGUGAAGGCAACACUGAUGCCAUCUCCACCAUGUCUGAUCUGUAUGCAUCCGUGCAAACGCAGCGUAUCAAAGUGAAUACUGCAGACAAUGGGGAGGACUAUGCCAACCACUUCUGAGAGAAGUCACCGAUUCCAACGUGCCAGAAAUGGUAUAUGCAGCUUGACCUCCUGCCACAUGAAGGCACUGUUUUACAACAAAGAGCUCUUGUUCCAGUGAGAGUGAGAGAAUUUGGUCUGAUUAAUUAAUGGGCUAAUAUUCAGUUUCUAAACUUUGUUAGCUUUACAGUUACAUUGGUGCAUAUGAAUUGUUUCAAAUAUGUAUGACUUUGUAAAGAGAAUAACUGUAGCAUGUACUGCACAUCUAUAUUAAUCUGACAUUUAACAAAUAGUAAAACAAAUUUUUGAGUGGAGAUGGGCUUUGAAAUAUUAUCAGUGAUGGAUACCUGACCAGUCAACAGCUCAGUGAUUCCUCCUUUAUCAACUGUCCUCUGACAUCGUAACAUCAUCAUUUACCGAUGAUAUGUAACAUUUACUUAUGAGUUGCAAACAUUUAAACCUGUAAAUUAAUAAUCAUAAGAAGAGGAACGUUCUGUGUUCAAAGCCCAGGCCUUGAACGUUUCUGUGUGGAGUUUGCAGACUGACAACCUAUCCUGGGUGCACCCUGCCCUCACCCAAUGUCAACUGGUAUUUCCUGCAGCCCCCUCACACUGUGACCCUGCACAGAUAAGUGAUAUAGAUAAUGGAUGGAAUUACAUUUUCUUUUCAUUUGUCAUCAGAAUAUAAUCAGUUGUGUCAGAGGUCUUUAAUUGAAAAAAAAAAAAACAACCUUAUCUAUGAAGACAGUGAUAACAGUUUGGAUUACAAUGAUCAAUAAGGUAAUAAUCUUUUGUAAUAAUUAAUGUUUUGGGAGAACUGUAACACGGUCCCUCAAAAGAAUGGAGUCACACACAGGGGAAGACAUACAGCACUCAUUAGUCCUUUCAGGUAUUUGAAAUCAGGCACAGUGAAGUCAAAUCACAGAAAGAUAUUUAUUCAAGACAUUGUUCAUAGAGAAUAAAGACUAUGGACAUCCAUUUUGGAAAGUUUGAGUUUUGGUGAGACUCCUCUGAGUUUGUGCACCAAGCCAAGAGCACACAAAGAUUUAAAACUGAAGUCACUCUUACCUACAUUUUCAAUGCUUGAGCAGAAAACACUGUGUAGGUUGGCUGUUCAGUUGUUUCACCAGUUUAGUUUGAUGGAAUUAUUUAAAUAAGCAUCAAGCAGCAUGUCAAGUGUGUCACAUGCUAUCCAACUGACCUUUCAUCUGGCACUAUGAGGUUGGCAUUUGUGGGUUUAAAGGAAAUAUCACAACUUCCACUAGACUAACAAGACCCUUGGUUGUUGUUCGAAUAAUUUUGGUGAUCCUUUAUUCUUGAAUGGUAAAUGGACUGCACUUCUAUGGGGCUUUUUUGGUCUAGUCAGUGGUGGACAUAGCACACAGCUCAAACUCCUUGAGUGUAGAUCCUCCUGGUAAAACUUUACUCCAGUAAAAGUUAAAGAAACAAAGUUAGACUAUGACUUGGGUAGAAGUAAAGGAGUACUUGCUUUUGCGAAUACUUAGUAUUAGUAUUAGCAUUCAUAGUACUUUUCAUCGCAAUGCAAUGUGUCCUGAAGCAGUACAUUCAAAGAAUUUUUUUACCCCUCUUUCGGCUUUUCCCUUUUCGGGGUCACCACAGCAAGUCAGCUCAUUGUAACUUUAGGAGUGAUUUGACCCCAGUUUUCCACUACUGGGCACCCUGUGGCUGGGGUUCGUCGUAGGGGAAUCGAACCAGGAAUCGAACCAGACUUAGGCAUGCCAGGCAGGUACACUCACGACUAUACUGUCAAAGCAGAAAAUCAUUAAAUAAGAAGCAAAUCAUAGAGACAAACUUCAACAGACAAAAGGACCAACACGGUAAUUGUCUUGCUCUAAAUGCUAAAUGAAAUAAGUUACAAUAAAAGUCUUGCCUCGGUGACCCACUGAACUGGAGACCAAGGGCUCGGUCUGCCCACAUCUUACCCUGUGACGGCCCAGAGGCUCUGUAUUGCAGCAACAGCCAUCCCCACAGAGAGAAUCAAUCCCAGUUUUCACCAAGAAUGGGCUAAAACCGUGACCUGGGUGCUGCGUUUUCCUUUUUAUUGACUCCGGUUUUUCAAACUUGGACAAGGGAAAGACAGAAAGAAAAGAAUGAAAAAUAAAAAGGAAAUAUAUGUAUAAAUAAAUAUACAUAUGAAAUUAUAAGUAUUUGCAGUGGAAUAUUGUAGGUUGAUAGUUGACCCUAAAUUGUCUGUAGGUCUGAGUGAGAGUGUGAAUGGUUGUUGGUCUCUGUCUGUCUCUGUGUGUUGCCCCUGUAAUGGACUGGUGACCUGUCCAGGGUGACCCUGCCCUCACCCAGAGUGAGCUGGAAAUGGAUAAGCAGCAGAAGAUGAACGAGGGUAUGAUUCUCUAUACUUGUCGUUGUUCAUUCAUUGAUUCAUUAAUCUUCAACAACUUUAUCCAUUUAUCACAGGCAGGCCAGCUGACAUUGCCUGGGCACGGGACAAAAUAAUCUUAGAUGCCCCCCCCCCCCCGGGACUUGUGCUGACUGGACAUUUUCCGACCGAACUUCAGACAACAGAAAACAGCCUGGCAUAGCAACAGUCACCAAGAGGGGCGGGGCUUAGUGGUGGAUUGGUGGCCAAACCAUUUAUUGGGAAGGUGGGAGGGGUUGGCAAUUAGGAAGAAAGAAAAUAAAAAGCUUAUGUAACUCAAAUAUUACAUAUUAUUUUCCACAAAUAGUCUUAUUUUGAGAAAUCUUGAAAAAUUAUUCCAUAAUUUAACGAGAGCCCCUCUACCAGGGCCAACACACAGAAACAGACAGAGACAAACAACCACUCGCACUCUGACCUACAGACAAUUUAGAGUCACCAGUUAACCCAAACAUGAUGUCUUUGGACGGUGGGUGGAAACCCACGCAGGCAGAGAGAACAUGCAAACAGAAAGGCCCCAGGCCGGGAACUGAAUACCAACCUUCUUAUUGCUGGGCAACAGCACUAACCACUAUGCUGCUGUGCUGCCUCUAUGUUGUUUCGAUUAAAAUAUUUAAGUUUAUAAGUUUAACUUAUAACUCAAACUUAUAAGUUUUAUAAGUUUAUAAAUGAUAUCCAUUCAAUCAGAGACUGGACUUUUUCUCAAAUUGGGUUGGAUCCCUAAUGUAUGCUAUUUACAUUGUUAAUUCAUUUUAAACAUACUUUUACAUUGUUUUUGUAACAGAUAAAUUGAAGAAACAAACAAAAAAAAAAAUUCUCCCACUUGGGAGCUGAAAUUUGGUUCUAUAAAAGACUACCUUUUUUUCUGUUUAUUAAUUCUUUAUUUAAAUAUUAAAAUAAGCCAAAAAAAAUGUACGUCAGGGCAUAUAAAAUAAUAGUAUAAAGUAUUAAUACAAUACAAAAUUGAAAAUAAACCAUUCAAGUGCCCACCAAUUGUAGUGCAAUAUUGCUUCAGCUCUUGCAAAAAGUGAGCAAAUUGGGGUUUGUCUAAAAAGACUAUCUGCAGGAAUGUUACUCACAAGCUCAUCACUCAAACAGAGUACUGCAUGCGCAAGGGACAGCUACAGCAACACCACUUGAACACAAGAGCUUUUUCUCUAAAAUCUAACAAGUAUAUCAUAGAAAUGUGGUGGAGUCAAAAGUACAAUAUAUACCUUCAAAUGUAAUGGAGUAAAAGUACAAAAAACUACAGAUCCUUAAAACUGUAUUAAGUACAGUACUUGUGUUAUAAACUUUUUCUCUUAAGGUUUAUAAAGAAAAGAAAUGAAGUAUCCAUGGGGAGAUUAGAUUAGAAGCCCUUUAUCCUUUCAUCUUUAUAACAAAUAACAUGCACUGUAAAAACGAAUUAUUAUUCUGGCUAGCUGAACCAAUGCCCAUUAUCAGUUAUUUGUUGUUUAGGGUUUUAACGAUGGAAUUUUGUUUUGUGGUGUUUUUAAUUCACCAGGUGAAUGCAGUUUAUAGCCAGAUCGGAACACGACCUUUGGUGUAAUGUAAUAAAAUUGCCUAUAUUCUGAUAUAGAUGGUUGUUAUCCUUUACAAUGUCUUGGAGGUUAUCUGUGCACAAUUAAACUAGUCCAACUGCAGUGAUACUGAGAUAAGACAUGUCAAUGCCACAAGAUAUGAAAUUGAAAAGAUACGACUGACUAUGUGUAAACAUGGUUUUGUAACAAUGAUCAGGUCACUGUAUUCACUGUAUUUGGUUUUUAUGCUUUUCUUUGCUUCAGUUUAAGGGAAAAAAAUUAAUGAAACUGAUGAAUUUAUUACAUUUCCUUAUGAGUGCAUAGUUGGAAUAUAUUUCAUAGAAAAUGUACCAACAUAACAGAGGUGAUAAAUAAUAAUAACAAUUAUUAUUAUUAAUUUAUAUUGAUUGAAAAUAAUAAUAAAGAAAUAUAUAGCCGUAUUUCAC
Echeneis naucrates (live sharksucker) is the source of this 5075-nucleotide long non-coding RNA. Lineage: Eukaryota; Metazoa; Chordata; Actinopteri; Carangiformes; Echeneidae. The record is from Ensembl.